RNAcentral lists this ribosomal RNA (710 nucleotides) under Roseovarius sp. RNAcentral's name for it is "bacterial SSU rRNA". It matches the Rfam family "Bacterial small subunit ribosomal RNA", at positions 34 to 795 of the family's 1533-position model. Lineage: Bacteria; Pseudomonadati; Pseudomonadota; Alphaproteobacteria; Rhodobacterales; Roseobacteraceae. The record is from RNAcentral.
CGCAUGCGGCAGCUACACAUGCAGUCGAGCGAGAACUUCGGUUCUAGCGGCGGACGGGUUAGUAACGCGUGGGAACGUGCCCUUCACUACGGAAUAGUCCCGGGAAACUGGGUUUAAUACCGUAUACGCCCUUCGGGGGAAAGAAUUUCGGUGAAGGAUCGGCCCGCGUUAGAUUAGAUAGUUGGUGGGGUAACGGCCUACCAAGUCUACGAUCUAUAGCUGGUUUUAGAGGAUGAUCAGCAACACUGGGACUGAGACACGGCCCAGACUCCUACGGGAGGCAGCAGUGGGGAAUCUUAGACAAUGGGCGCAAGCCUGAUCUAGCCAUGCCGCGUGAGUGAUGAAGGCCUUAGGGUCGUAAAGCUCUUUCGCCAGGGAUGAUAAUGACAGUACCUGGUAAAGAAACCCCGGCUAACUCCGUGCCAGCAGCCGCGGUAAUACGGAGGGGGUUAGCGUUGUUCGGAAUUACUGGGCGUAAAGCGCGCGUAGGCGGAUUGGAAAGUUGGGGGUGAAAUCCCAGGGCUCAACCCUGGAACUGCCUCCAAAACUAUCAGUCUAGAGUUCGAGAGAGGUGAGUGGAACUCCGAGUGUAGAGGUGAAAUUCGUAGAUAUUCGGAAGAACACCAGUGGCGAAGGCGGCUCACUGGCUCGAUACUGACGCUGAGGUGCGAAAGUGUGGGGAGCAAACAGGAUUAGAUACCCUGGUAGUC